AAUGACCAGAAGCCUCGGCAAUCAACGCCCCGAUACGCUAGCCGCCGCUACGUGCGCGUUGCGCUAUCCACGAUUGUGGGUUGCCUCCUCUGCCCCACGUGGACUCUGCAAUCUUGCGCGAGCUGAGCGUGAAUGGAUGAGGCGACCCUCAACACGCUGCUCCUCAGUGGUGAAUGCGAUGUUCAGUGGGGCUCGCGAGGCACGCUGACGGUCCGCCGCACUGUUGAGCUGCACUCCAACAACAUCCUUUACUGCUUCGAGGAGCCGAAGAACUCGAUGGCGAAGCACAUUAGGGAAAAGGUGUACGUGGAGGGUUGCCACGUUGUCGACGGUGGCGCCUACAACGACGCAGGCGAGCGACUGCUUCUGUUUUUGGCUAACCAUGACUACUCCGAGAAGGUCGAUCUGCUCGGCAACCACCAAGCCUACAUAUUCGCUGCAGAGCAGACGACUCACAAUGCGCCACUGGGACAGGCUACACAACGUUCAUCGAUGUCGACGCUGCCGAACGCCAACUACAUGGUGCAGCUUUUUCUCUGCGAUAAAAUGGUCAAGUGGCGCCUGCUACAGGCGAUUCAGAGAGCCUCAAAGGAGUAUCUGCAGCUGUUUCCGGACACGGACACAGCACUCGCACUGUCCGCGGCGCGAACGGUGGGCGACGGCUGCAUACACGCAGGACGGCCGACGGUAGCGGGGCCGCCGGCCUCCGGUGUACCGAACCCCUUCGAGUCGAAGGUACUGGCCCGGCCCUCCGCCAACCCUUACCACUCACGCACGGAGUCCGGCAUCAGCGUCUUGUCCGAUCACGAGGUGCUGCAGCUGUCGGACGUGCUACGCGAGUACGAGGCACUCCAGGAAAGCAAAAGAAGGUUAGGUGCCGUGAUGACCUCAUCUCCGCCGCAGCCGAAGGGAGAGGAGGAGGGCGUGCGCAAAUCCACAUCGGAUGACCAGGGCUUGGAGGCGGCGGCGUGCGUGGCGGGAAAUGCAGCGGAAUUAGCCGUGACACUGUCUGAGUUGCAGUCUAGAGCACCAGCACGCCUCCAGCACUCUCCUCUCUACGAGAGGUGCAUCAAGAGCAAACCAGCCAACAAGAUCUGUGCGGACUGCGGCGAGCCUUUCCCGUCAUGGUGCAUCCUGCAGCCGUUUGGCGCCUUUGUGUGCAUCCAGUGCAUCGGCGUGCAUCGAAAGCUGUGGUCGAACAAGUGCCGUAGCGCAGAGCUCGACCGGUGGCCAGACAGCGACAUCGAGUUCAUGAAGGCACGUGGCAACGACGUCGUGAACGACGAGUUGGAGUACUACGUGGCUCUUCCGAGUGACAGUGUUGAGUUUGCGUUGCACGCACAGCCGGUCGUGAAGCCCGUGCUGUCGUUUUCCUCCGCUGAGGUGCGUGAGUCGUUCCUUCGGUGGAAGUACGAAGAGCUGUUCUUUACACGGAGGCGGCACCCGACUGCGACAAGGCCGCUGCCGCCGCUCCCAGACCCGGCUGGGCUCGAACGCUCUCGCCUUGCUACCACCACUGCCACUUCAGAGGCGGAGGGCUACGCCAGCGCCGUCUCUUUUGGCGCCGCCGCACGACUUCAGCAGCAGCCAUUCUUUCUUGACCAGGGCCCUCCACGAUAUGCGGGGCUGCUAGACAUUGUUGUCAAAGAGCUGGUGGGACCGGAGUCGAUUAAGGGCGCAGUAUGCGUGCUGACAAACGGCUUUCAAACUCUCCGCACUCAGGAAAGCCGCCAGCUGCUGCAUAUGCGACACUCCACCGCGUGGGAUGAGCACCUGCAGGUUGGCAUAGAGGGGGCAGGACAGAAGCCGCUCUACUGCACCGUGUAUCGCGGGAGAGGGGAACUGCUGGCCGCUGCAGAGAUGUGGAUGAAAGGGGACGUUUUCCAGCCAGGCACCAGCUGCAUGUUCGCCUUGAAGCUGGUCUGGAGUCAGCUCCACAAGAAGCCCAGCCAGCGUACGCCGGGAGAGUCGUGGACGAUUACGUUCUUGACCUCGUACCAACGGCUGGCGUGAAUCUCGAAGUGACGUCGUUCUCUCCCCCUCCCCUCGCCAUUUCUCUGCUGUCGCCGUGAGCCUCCUUCGCACACGCACACUCUGCCCUCCCAACUUUCCAUCACCCACACACACGCUGCUGUGUACAUGAUAUGGGCUC
Molecule: unclassified non-coding RNA, 2152 nt
Filed under: Leishmania donovani
Lineage: Eukaryota; Euglenozoa; Kinetoplastea; Trypanosomatida; Trypanosomatidae
Description: gene:LdHU3.35.0350(CDS-product:GTP-ase_activating _protein_putative)
Source: RNAcentral